AGUGAACGCUGGCGGUAGGCCUAACACAUGCAAGUCGAACGGCAGCACAGGAGAGCUUGCUCUCUGGGUGGCGAGUGGCGGACGGGUGAGGAAUACAUCGGAAUCUACUCUGUCGUGGGGGAUAACGUAGGGAAACUUACGCUAAUACCGCAUACGACCUACGGGUGAAAGCAGGGGAUCUUCGGACCUUGCGCGAUUGAAUGAGCCGAUGUCGGAUUAGCUAGUUGGCGGGGUAAAGGCCCACCAAGGCGACGAUCCGCAGCUGGUCUGAGAGGAUGAUCAGCCACACUGGAACUGGGACACGGUCCAGACUCCUACGGGAGGCAGCAGUGGGGAAUAUUGGACAAUGGCGCAAGCCUGAUCCAGCCAUACCGCGUGGGUGAAGAAGGCCUUCGGGUUGUAAAGCCCUUUUGUUGGGAAAGAAAUCCAGCUGGCUAAUACCCGGUUGGGAUGACGGUACCCAAAGAAUAAGCACCGGCUAACUUCGUGCCAGCCGCCGCCGUAA
Molecule: ribosomal RNA, 505 nt
Filed under: uncultured bacterium
Lineage: Bacteria
Description: partial 16S ribosomal RNA
Rfam family: Bacterial small subunit ribosomal RNA
Source: RNAcentral